This 88-nucleotide transfer RNA is filed under the name Candidatus Contendibacter sp. Its description in RNAcentral is "Candidatus Contendobacter sp. (bioanode metagenome) tRNA-Leu". It matches the Rfam family "tRNA". Rfam says of the family: Transfer RNA (tRNA) molecules are approximately 80 nucleotides in length. Their secondary structure includes four short double-helical elements and three loops (D, anti-codon, and T loops). Lineage: Bacteria; Pseudomonadati; Pseudomonadota; Gammaproteobacteria; Candidatus Competibacteraceae. The record is from RNAcentral.
GCUGGUGUGGUGGAAUGGUAUACACACAGGACUUAAAAUCCUGCGGCCUUGACCGGCCUUGUGGGUUCGAGUCCCACCACCAGCACCA